This is a ribosomal RNA of Carassius auratus (goldfish), 119 nucleotides long. NCBI's taxonomy places the organism in Eukaryota, Metazoa, Chordata, Actinopteri, Cypriniformes, Cyprinidae. The record is from Ensembl.
GCUUACGGCCAUACCAACCUGGCUAUGCCCGAUCUCGUUUGAUCUCGGAAGCUAAGCAGGUUUGGGCCUGUUUAGUACUUGGAUGGGAGACCGCCUGGGAAUACCAGGUGCUGUAAGCU